GUAGGAGGCUCUUGCAGACGUUUUAAAUUACUCAGUCCUGGUAAUGUUCCUUAGCUGCAGGACCCAAGCCUCUACGCUGGGUAGGAGAAAUGGAUCUUGCUGCUUUGCAGAGAGCUCCGGGGGACUCGCCAGGCCCUUCAAUGAGCCCGUACCCAUGCCUGCUUAUGCCUGAGGCAUUAUCUCGAAGCACUGAGAUACAAGGGUGAACAAGACGAGAGGUUCACAGCGCUCACACAGAUGACAACACUAACAGAACCAUUUGAUGCUACUCAUAUUUCUGAAACCAAGAACUCUGGAAGAAUUUCUGCCCUCGGGCCCUCUCAUUUUUGUGUCCAGAUUGGCCUCCUUCCCAACUCACCAGAAACAUCAGAGAAUGAAGCUGUCUGUGGAAGGCUACGGACAAACUGGACACAAAUUCACUGGACAUCUGAUAGAUGGAAAGAAAGGUCAAGAUGGUCCAAGCUUGGUCAGCCUCUCAAGCUUGACAACAAAAGAAAAAAUACCCUGGAAUUUCUUCUUGUAUAAUGUAGGCUUGAAUUAAAGUCAUUUUUCAGUCUC
Non-coding RNA from Rattus norvegicus (Norway rat), 558 nucleotides. NCBI's taxonomy places the organism in Eukaryota, Metazoa, Chordata, Mammalia, Rodentia, Muridae. The record is from RefSeq and is a predicted model, not a curated record.